AUUGAACGCUGGCGGCGUGCUUAACACAUGCAAGUCGAGCGGUAAGGCCCUUUCGGGGUACGACGAGCGGCGAACGGGUGAGUAACACGUGGGUGACCUGCCCUCAGCUCUGGGAUAAGCCGUGGGAAACCGGGUCUAAUACUGGAUAUGACUCCAUGACGCAUGGUUGUAGGGGUGGAAAGCCUUGUGCGGCUGAGGAUGGGCCCGCGGCCUAUCAGCUUGUUGGU
RNAcentral lists this ribosomal RNA (227 nucleotides) under uncultured bacterium. Its description in RNAcentral is "partial 16S ribosomal RNA". It matches the Rfam family "Bacterial small subunit ribosomal RNA", at positions 30 to 253 of the family's 1533-position model. The record is from RNAcentral.